Sinocyclocheilus anshuiensis is the source of this 598-nucleotide long non-coding RNA. RefSeq lists it as uncharacterized. Lineage: Eukaryota; Metazoa; Chordata; Actinopteri; Cypriniformes; Cyprinidae. The record is from RefSeq and is a predicted model, not a curated record. The transcript is spliced from 4 exons.
AAGAAAUUAUCCUGACUCAUUGAACCUGGAUCGAAUUAGUGAGAUUGCGUGAAUUUAAAAGGUCGUUUAUGAAACCGCUUUAGUCCCGAUUGAUUUGUUAAGUUAUUUCAAGUCAGUUUUUGGACUUUAAUCCCCGCUUUUCUUAGCGUCUUUUAUGAAACAGCCCCCAGCUGUCGUGUGACUCCGUUGCUUGGGUUGUGUUGAUUGGUCACAAGUGUGUCUUGUUAUUCAUUAGUCUGUAGAGCCCUUGUGUUUCAUAGUUCUUGGUUUAGGUUUCUCACCGAGCUGUAACUGCAGAUUGGUCAGAGACGAGAGCUCAUGCGUCACAUGACAAAGUCUUUGCUGCCCUCUGGUGGACAACAUGAGACACUGACUAUAGGGUGCGCUGAUCACGUGACUGGCCAGAUCAAAGAGUGACUGCUCAAUCUAUGUGUAUGCUGCAUUAUUUUCUGCGAAAUGGACUAAAUGGAUGUGUUGUCUUUAGCCAAAACUGCAGUAAAAUAAUGGAGAUGUGGACAAGAAGAGCUACAUGAUCCCAGCUCUGCGCCAAGUCAGUCAUCAAGCCAAGAAAGAUCCCACCCUUCUCCUUGGAAUGAAG